UACAGAGGUGGCAAGCGUUGUCCGGAAUUAUUGGGCGUAAAGAGCUCGUAGGCGGUGUGUCGCGUCGGCCGUGAAAACCUGCAGCUUAACUGUGGGCUUGCGGUCGAUACGGGCAUCACUGGAGUUCGGCAGGGGAGACUGGAAUUCCUGGUGUAGCGGUGAAAUGCGCAGAUAUCAGGAGGAACACCGGUGGCGAAGGCGGGUCUCUGGGCCGAUACUGACGCUGAGGAGCGAAAGCGUGGGGAGCGAACAGG
This 254-nucleotide ribosomal RNA is filed under the name uncultured bacterium. RNAcentral describes it as "partial 16S ribosomal RNA". It matches the Rfam family "Bacterial small subunit ribosomal RNA", at positions 524 to 776 of the family's 1533-position model. The record is from RNAcentral.